Molecule: ribosomal RNA, 274 nt
Filed under: uncultured bacterium
Lineage: Bacteria
Description: partial 16S ribosomal RNA
Rfam family: Bacterial small subunit ribosomal RNA
Source: RNAcentral
AUACGGAGGGUGCAAGCGUUAUUCGGAAUCACUGGGCGUAAAGGGUGCGUAGGCGGUUUGAUAAGUCUGAUGUGAAAUCCUAUGGCUCAACCAUAGAACAGCAUUGGAAACUGUCAGACUAGAAUACUGAAGGGGCAGAUGGAAUUAGUGGUGUAGGGGUAAAAUCCGUAGAUAUCACUAGGAAUACCGAAAGCGAAAGCGAUCUGCUGGGAAGUUAUUGACGCUGAGGCACGAAAGCGUGGGGAGCAAACGGGAUUAGAAACCCUAGUAGUCC